AGUCGAGCGAGAAAGCGGGGGCAACCCUGUGAGUACAGCGGCGCACGGGUGAGUAACACGUGGAUAAUCUACCUGGGAGUGGGGAAUAACUCUGGGAAACCGGAGCUAAGACCGCAUACGCCUGAGAAGGGAAAGGAAGCAAUUCCGCUCGCAGAGGAGUCCGCGGCCGAUUAGCUAGUUGGUGAGGUAACGGCUCACCAAGGCGACGAUCGGUAGCCGGCCUGAGAGGGCACACGGCCACACUGGCACUGAAACACGGGCCAGACUCCUACGGGAGGCAGCAGUGGGGAAUCUUGCACAAUGGAGGAAACUCUGAUGCAGCGACGCCGCGUGAGCGAUGAAGCCCUUCGGGGUGUAAAGCUCUUUCGGCAGGGACGAUAAUGACGGUACCUGCAGAAGAAGCUGCGGCUAACUACGUGCCAGCAGCCGCGGUAAUACGUAGGCAGCAAGCGUUGUUCGGAAUUACUGGGCGUAAAGAGUGUGUAGGCGGCGCUCUAAGUUCGGUGUGAAAUCUCCCGGCUCAACCGGGAGGGUGCGCCGGAAACUGGAGGGCUGGAGCGUGGGAAAGGAAAGCGGAA
Molecule: ribosomal RNA, 578 nt
Filed under: uncultured bacterium
Lineage: Bacteria
Description: bacterial SSU rRNA
Rfam family: Bacterial small subunit ribosomal RNA
Source: RNAcentral